Molecule: ribosomal RNA, 776 nt
Filed under: Clostridium sp. NB11
Lineage: Bacteria; Bacillati; Bacillota; Clostridia; Eubacteriales; Clostridiaceae
Description: bacterial SSU rRNA
Rfam family: Bacterial small subunit ribosomal RNA
Source: RNAcentral
UGNANAAAACCGCGGGACGNGUAGAANUAACCNNGUGGGUAACCCUGCCCUGUUACNCCCCGNAUNANCAUACCCGAAAGGGUAUUCUUAUUNCGGGAUAACCAUACCGAAAAUUCGCAUGGCUUUUUGUAUCAAAAGCUUCCGGCCGGUACAGGAAUGNACCCGCGUCUGAUUAGCUAGUUGGUAAGGUAAUGGCUUACCAAGGCAACGAUCAGUAGCCGACCUGAGAGGGUGAUCGGCCACACUGGAACUGAGACACGGUCCAGACUCCUACGGGAGGCAGCAGUGGGGAAUAUUGCACAAUGGGCGAAAGCCUGAUGCAGCAACGCCGCGUGAGCGAUGAAGGCCUUCGGGUCGUAAAGCUCUGUCCUCAAGGAAGAUAAUGACGGUACUUGAGGAGGAAGCCCCGGCUAACUACGUGCCAGCAGCCGCGGUAAUACGUAGGGGGCUAGCGUUAUCCGGAAUUACUGGGCGUAAAGGGUGCGUAGGUGGUUUUUUAAGUCAGAAGUGAAAGGCUACGGCUCAACCGUAGUAAGCUUUUGAAACUAGAGAACUUGAGUGCAGGAGAGGAGAGUAGAAUUCCUAGUGUAGCGGUGAAAUGCGUAGAUAUUAGGAGGAAUACCAGUAGCGAAGGCGGCUCUCUGGACUGUAACUGACACUGAGGCACGAAAGCGUGGGGAGCAAACAGGAUUAGAUACCCUGGUAGUCCACGCCGUAAACGAUGAGUACUAGGUGUCGGGGGUUACCCNGAAUCGGUGCCGCAGCNANCUCAUUAA